Molecule: ribosomal RNA, 492 nt
Filed under: uncultured bacterium
Lineage: Bacteria
Description: partial 16S ribosomal RNA
Rfam family: Bacterial small subunit ribosomal RNA
Source: RNAcentral
AGUGAACGCUGGCGGUAGGCCUAACACAUGCAAGUCGAACGGCAGCACAGUAAGAGCUUGCUCUUACGGGUGGCGAGUGGCGGACGGGUGAGGAAUACAUCGGAAUCUACUUUUUCGUGGGGGAUAACGUAGGGAAACUUACGCUAAUACCGCAUACGACCUACGGGUGAAAGCAGGGGAUCUUCGGACCUUGCGCGAUUGAAUGAGCCGAUGUCGGAUUAGCUAGUUGGCGGGGUAAAGGCCCACCAAGGCGACGAUCCGUAGCUGGUCUGAGAGGAUGAUCAGCCACACUGGAACUGAGACACGGUCCAGACUCCUACGGGAGGCAGCAGUAGGGAAUAUUGGACAAUGGGCGCAAGCCUGAUCCAGCCAUACCGCGUGGGUGAAGAAGGCCUUCGGGUUGGAAAGCCCUUUUAUUGGGAAAGAAAAGCAGCAGGUUAAUACCCCGCUGUUCUGACGGUACCCAAAGAAUAAGCACCGGCUAACUUCGUG